Molecule: ribosomal RNA, 434 nt
Filed under: uncultured bacterium
Lineage: Bacteria
Description: partial 16S ribosomal RNA
Rfam family: Bacterial small subunit ribosomal RNA
Source: RNAcentral
AGCGAACGCUGGCGGCAGGCCUAACACAUGCAAGUCGAACGAACCUUUCGGGGUUAGUGGCGGACGGGUGAGUAACACGUGGGAACGUGCCUUUAGGUUCGGAAUAACUCAGGGAAACUUGUGCUAAUACCGAAUGUGCCCUUCGGGGGAAAGAUUUAUCGCCUUUAGAGCGGCCCGCGUCGGAUUAGCUAGUUGGUUGAGGUAAUGGCUCACCAAGGCGACGAUCAGUAGCUGGUCUGAGAGGAUGAUCAGCCACAUUGGGACUGAGACGCGGCCCAAACUCCUACGGGAGGCAGCAGUGGGGAAUCUUGCGCAAUGGGCGAAAGCCUGACGCAGCCAUGCCGCGUGAAUGAUGAAGGUCUUAGGAUUGUAAAAUUCUUUCACCGGGGACGAUAAUGACGGUACCCGGAGAAGAAGCCCCGGCUAACUUCGUG